This is a long non-coding RNA of Pan troglodytes (chimpanzee), 1102 nucleotides long. RefSeq lists it as uncharacterized. Lineage: Eukaryota; Metazoa; Chordata; Mammalia; Primates; Hominidae. The record is from RefSeq and is a predicted model, not a curated record. The transcript is spliced from 3 exons.
CUGCUCUUUGCUCGGUGAGAAAGAUCCACCUACGACCUCAGGUCCUCAGACUGACCAGCCCAAGAAACAUCUCACCAAUUUCAAAUCCGGGGCCAGGCGUUCCUCCAGAACCUCCUCCCCCAGGAGCUUGCUACGAGUGCCAGAAAUCUGACCACCAGGCCAAGGAAUGCCUGCAGCCCAGGAUUCCCCCAUCUGUGUGGGACCCCACUGGAAAUCGGACUGUUCAACUCACCUGGCAGCCACUCCCAGAGCCCCUGGAACUCUGGCCCAAGCCUCUCUCACUGACUCCUUCUCAGCUUACCGGCUGAAGACUGACGCUGCCCGAUCGCCUCGGAAGCCCCGUAGACCAUCACGAACGCCGAGCUUCAGGUACACAUCCAGAUGGCCGGUUCCUGCCUUAACUGAUGACAUUCCACCACAAAAGAAGUGAAAAUGGCCUGUUCCUGCCUUAACUGAUGACACUGUCUUGUGAAAUUCCUUCUCCUGGCUCAUCCUGGCUCAAAAGCUCCCCUGCUGAGCACCUUGUGACCCCCCCCACUCCAGCCCGCCAGAGAACAACCCCCUUUGAUAGUAAUUUUCCUUUAUCCACCCAAAUCCUAUAAAAUGGCCCCACCCUUAUCUCCCUUCGCUCACUCUCUUUUCGGACUCAGCCCGCCUGCACCCAGGUGAAAUAAACAGCCAUGUUGCUCACACAAAGCCUGUUUGGUGGUCUCUUCACAUGGACGUGAGUGAAAAUAUCUCAGCAUAAAUUUCACUUCUACUACUCACUUGCUAUGUAAACUUUAAAAAAUUACUUACUCUCUAAGCCUCACUUUCCUAACGCUGUCAGAGUUGCCAGAAAAAUCAAAUAAAAUAACUGCAUGAAAAGCACUAAUCAUAAUGCCCAAGUCAUGAUAAGCAAACCCUGAAUAGUUGCUGUUAUUAAUUAUGAUUAUGUCCCUGGAUUCACAGUUUGCUCAACUUAUCCAUCUUAUUCCCAUUAUAAGAAGCUAGAAAGAAGUACAAACAAUUCUGAACUUUUUGUUUGUUUCAUGGUUGGUCGUAUUUCCCCUCAUUUCCUUUAUUCAUCAUUACUUUUGGUACUGAGGAUUUAAAAAAUUAA